GAACUCUUAGCUCAGGGGUAGAGCGGUCGCCUCAUAAGCGGUUGGUCGUUGGUUCAAUCCCAACAGGGUUCACCA
This 75-nucleotide transfer RNA is filed under the name Bacteriophage sp. Its description in RNAcentral is "tRNA-Met". It matches the Rfam family "tRNA". From Rfam's summary of the family: Transfer RNA (tRNA) molecules are approximately 80 nucleotides in length. Their secondary structure includes four short double-helical elements and three loops (D, anti-codon, and T loops). The record is from RNAcentral.